GUAGGUGGCAAGCGUUGUCCGGGAAUUAUUGGGGCGUAAAGCGCGCGCAGGCGGUUCUUUAAGUCUGAUGUGAAAGCCCACGGGCUCAACCGUGGGAGGGUCAUUGGAAACUGGAGAACUUGAGUACAGAAGAGGAAAGCGGAAUUCCACGUGUAGCGGUGAAAUGCGUAGAGAUGUGGAGGAACACCAGUGGCGAAGGCGGCUCUCUGGUCUGUAACUGACGCUGAGGCGCGAAAGCGUGGGGAGCAAACAGGAUUAGAUACCCUGGUAGUCCACGCCGUAAACGAUGAGUGCUAAGUGUUAGGGGGUUUCCGCCCCUUAGUGCUGCAGCUAACGCAUUAAGCACUCCGCCUGGGGAGUACGGCCGCAAAGGCUGA
Molecule: ribosomal RNA, 377 nt
Filed under: uncultured organism
Description: partial 16S ribosomal RNA
Rfam family: Bacterial small subunit ribosomal RNA
Source: RNAcentral